AUGUCACCAUAUCAUUCCCCAAAGCAAAUGAAGCAUAAAGAAACACAAGGAGACAGGCUCACUUUCUCUUCUUCGGGACUGUCGUUCCUGGGUCACAUAAAUUCUGGGUGGAAUGAGACGGUGCCCCUCACGACAGAGGAGAGAGAGAGUCAGAAGUUGGGUGUUGAAUGCUCCAUUGUGCAGCUGUUACAUUUCACAGUUCUAACCCAAGUCGCACUCAGAAUAGUUUCUCCUUCCACUCUUCUGGAAGAAAAACAUGCAAGCAGGAGUUUUUGUGUUUCCAAAAAUGUGCUGAGGGUGAACUCCGAGGACCCUCUGACUUCUUGAGAUACAAGUUUAGAGAGAACCUCCUGAGUUAACUUCUACAUACUCCUGUGCAGUGUGUAUGAAAUACCGACUAUUCCAUACCUGGGUGUCUGGGUAGGUGGUUGAUCAUUUCUUUAUGCCCCUAUAGUCCACCAACAUAUAAUAGAAUACUUAUUAUAACAAUCCUCUUAUCAUAUGCAGAUUGACAAAAUUUACAUGACUUUCAACCAAUUUCUCCAUAAAUAGUUUAUUGUAAAUCAGCAAAAGGCAAAUAUUUUGUACAAAUACUCAACAGUAGUGAAAUGGAGAGUAUAAAAGCUCAGUUUUACAUUUGUAAAUCAAUGAUUAAUCAUUAAAUAACCUUGUGUUGUUGGGGAAUGCCCUCCACUCUAUCCUGACUGUUAGCUGUUCAAUGGAAAUCUACACUGACAAGGAAUUUGCUGUUUCAUGGAAGAAUCCAACAUAUCUUGAGGUCACUGAACGCUGUUAGAAAAUCCUUCCUUCUCACUGAAGUUAUUGGUGAACAUUUGAUUCUUAUGAGUAGUUUUCCAUGCCUUGUAUAAUCAUUAUCUUCCUUUCAACCACCUUUGUAGUUUUUCCAAUGUUUUUAAACAUUGAACAAGUAUUAUACAUAAUUGGGUCUGGAGGUGCCGCAUUUGCUUUCAAGACUCCAGCACUUAAUGCUUUUUAGCAUCAUGCUGUUGGCUUAUAACAAGACUGGGAUUAACUAAAACCCAACCAUUUUUAACAAAUCCCAAUGACAAACCAAGUCUCCAUAUCCUGUGAUAGCACCAACAAUUCCUUUGAUUCUAAGUGUAGAACUUUCCAUGAAUCCUGAUUAUGUCAUUUUGUCAUGUGGGUUUGGACUUUCAAUCCCUUAAGUUUCUUUUGAACUCUUAUUUCCUUGUGCAGUGUAUUUAUCCAGGAUAUUGUAAUGAGAAAAAAAGGAACCAAACCCAAACCAACCAAGAACCCCCAGCCAUGCCUUGCAUAUCUCUGUAUAAGAGAUACACGAUGACAGAAAAUAUAUUCUUGAAGACCAAAUAGAAGAUAUAAUAUCACAACAUAGGGUUUCAUUUCAUUAAUUCACUCAAAUGUUCAUGGAAACCUAGUCCAUGCCAGAUACUGUUAGGCCUUAUAAAUAAUUAAAGCCUUAGCUUUUGUGAAGCUAAUAUUUUAGUGGAAGAGAUGGAGUAUAAACAGAAUGUGGUAGGAGGUAAACAUCGGUAGGUUAGAUAAAGAUAAGGUUGAAGAGGUGGCCAUUUAUUUUAGAGAUAGUUGCUAAAUAGGUGGCAUUUAAACUAAUGCCUUAAGUUUCCUAAGAAUUCAAAGAGCUUUUCAAAGAGCUGAGAGAACAUUUUAGGUCAAAGAGAACAGCAGAUACAGGAAGGAAUGACUUUGGUUAAGAACAGGUGGUCUCCAGCAUGAAGUUUCGAUUACGUUUUUUCUUUCUGAAUUACCGAUUGAUUUUUAAACAUUUCUGUGUAUUUAUGCGCCGAGUCUUCAUCGCUGCAUGCAGGCUGCUCUGGUUGGAGUGUGUGAGUGUCUCAUUGCAGUGGCUUCUCUCGUGGUGGAGCAUGGGCUCUAGGGCAUGUGGGUUCAGUAGUUGUGAUGCAUGGGCUUAGUCACUCUGCAGCAUGUGGGAUCUUCCCAGAUCAGGGAUCAAACCCACGUCCUAUCCUGCUUUGGCAGGUGGGUUCUUAACCACUGGACGACCAGGGAAGCCCUACCAAUUGCUUUUGAAUAAGCUUGUUUAAUUAGUAUGGUUAAAUGAAUUGUUUAUUAUUACCCAAUCCAUAUUUCUCCAUGGUGUUCAUGAGAAUAUCACAAGAAACUAUCAGAUAUAUUGGAAACAUCUUGUUUUAUUCUGUACUUCUUUUUCUGAUGUAUGAUUCAAAAUGAACAGAAAUCCUUUGGGAUUUGUUCCUAGUAAACUGUGGUGACUUGUUUGCUCAGGUCUUCUAAACCACUUGUUCUUGAAUCCUUUAUAGAAUUUAUCAGGAGUCUUAGUCAAGUGGAACAGUCAACAAUUUCUAAAAUGUAUGUUUCCAAUACAAUAUUGUAAAGUUAAAUAAAAUUAAAGAAAAAAAGAAACUUGGUUCAAGAUGUUUUAUAUCUUCAAUCUAUUCAGAUUUCUUCUAUUCCCCCUAAUUGUAAAGAUGAUCACAAAUGGUUCUUGAUCAAACUUACAAGAUGGUUCAAUACUUGGAAAUAUAUUUCACUCUGUUUUGAGUAAUUAGAUUUUCUUUCACACUAGAAACAUAUCAGGAUUUGUUCUGGUUCAUUAUGCUUUAAGUUUGGAGGCACUUUUCUUAAUAAAGAAAAAGGAAUCUGAAUAGUAUAAAACUGCUCUGUCCCCUUUCUUAUCUGGACGUUUUGCUUCAUGUGUGAUGGUUCACUUCAUGGCUGUCAGGCCUGGGCCAACUCUCUGUAUUUUGCUUUAAGUAUAGCUAACCAAUGAUAGCUUCUCUAGUGACUGACUAAGAUGGUGAAGAAUCUACCUGCAGUGCAGGAGACACAAGUUUGAUCUCUGAGCUGGGAAGAUUCCCUGGAGAAGGAAAGGGCAAUCCACUCUAAUAUGCUUGCCUGGGAAAUUUCAUGGACCGAGGAACCUGGCAGACUACAGUCCAUGGGGCUGCAAAGAGUCAGACAUAACUUAGCGACUAAACAACAAGGGCCUUUAUAGAUAGGAACUCGCAGCAAAGCAGUGGUCACUGUGGUGUUGACCUCACACCCAUGGUUUUAACAUCACGCCCAUGUCUUCCAGGCCUGGAGAGAACAGUGUGGAACAGGAUCCAGAGGUUUGUUUCUCCAAAUGUUUCCUUUCUCACUCUUUAAAAGUCUUCCUAGGUAUGUAGACUAAACAGAGCUUUAUAGGAAGGAAAGUCCACACCCCAGGGAAUUCCAACACUCAGAAGUACCUCAAGGACUCUAAACAAUUGAGGAGUGGCUCUUUUGGACACUUUUCCAUGCCAGGCUAUCCCAGGCAGUAGGCCAACAUUUGAAACUGAUGAGAAAAAUAC
This is a long non-coding RNA of Bos grunniens (domestic yak), 3329 nucleotides long. NCBI's taxonomy places the organism in Eukaryota, Metazoa, Chordata, Mammalia, Artiodactyla, Bovidae. The record is from Ensembl.